GGAGGGAUGCCGGAGCGGCCGAACGGGAUGGUCUUGAAAACCAUUGAGGCGCGAGCCUCCGUGGGUUCGAAUCCCACUCCCUCCG
RNAcentral lists this transfer RNA (85 nucleotides) under Acidimicrobiia bacterium. RNAcentral's name for it is "tRNA-Ser". It matches the Rfam family "tRNA". Rfam says of the family: Transfer RNA (tRNA) molecules are approximately 80 nucleotides in length. Their secondary structure includes four short double-helical elements and three loops (D, anti-codon, and T loops). The record is from RNAcentral. RNAcentral also lists the same sequence under 2 other names. Lineage: Bacteria; Bacillati; Actinomycetota; Acidimicrobiia.